This 1527-nucleotide ribosomal RNA is filed under the name metagenome. RNAcentral's name for it is "bacterial SSU rRNA". It matches the Rfam family "Bacterial small subunit ribosomal RNA". The record is from RNAcentral.
AGAGUUUGAUUCUGGCUCAGAACGAACGCUGGCAGCGUGGAUUAGGCAUGCAAGUCGAACGAGAAUCCGUGGACCUGAUCCUUCGGGUGAAGGACCGUGGAGGAGAGUGGCGGAAGGGUGAGUAUCGCGUGGGUAAUCUGCCGUCAAGUCGGGGAUAACUUGGUGAAAACCGGGCUAAUACCGGAUGUGGUCGUUCCGUGAUGCGGAGUUGACCAAAGAUGGGGAUCUGCUUCGGUGGACCUGUCGCUUGAUGAGGAGCCUGCGUCCUAUCAGCUUGUUGGUGAGGUAAUGGCUCACCAAGGCUUACGGGUAGCUGGUCUGAGAGGUCGGUCAGCCACACUGGGACUGAGACACUGCCCAGACUCCUACGGGAGGCUGCAGUCGAGGAUCAUUCGCAAUGCGCGAAAGCGUGACGAUGCGACGCUGCGUGGAGGAUGACGGCCUUCGGGUUGUAAACUCCUGUCAUUCGGGAACAACGGUCCGAGUACGAAUACUACUUGGAUUUGAUAGUACCGAAAGAGGAAGCCACGGCUAACUCUGUGCCAGCAGCCGCGGUAAUGCAGAGGUGGCGAGCGUUGUUCGGAUUUACUGGGCGUAAAGGGUGCGUAGGUGGUUCUGUGUGUCGGGUGUGAAAUCUCACCGCUCAACGGUGAAACUGCACUCGAAACUGCAGAACUGGAGUGCGGGAGAGGAGAGUGGAAUUCUUGUUGUAGCGGUGGAAUGCGUUGAUAUCAAGAAGAACACCGGUGGCGAAGGCGGCUCUCUGGAACGCUACUGACACUGAGGCACGAAAGUUGGGGGAGUGAACAGGAUUAGAUACCCUGGUAAUCCCAACCGUAAACGAUGUACACUUGGUGUGGGGAGAUUUGACCCUCUCCGUGCCGGAGCUAACGUAUUAAGUGUACCGCCUGGGGAGUACGGCCGCAAGGUUAAAACUCAAAGAAAUUGACGGGGGCCCGCACAAGCGGAGGAGCAUGUGGCUCAAUUCGAUGCAACGCGAAGAACCUUACCAGGGCUUGACAUGCAGCUGCAAGCCCCCUGAGAGGGGGGAAGCCUUCGAGGGCGCUGCACAGGUGCUGCAUGGCUGUCGUCAGUUCGUGCCGUGAGGUGUUGGGUUAAGUCCCGCAACGAACGCAACCCUUGUGUCUAGUUGCCAGCGCAGGUGAUGAGCUUGCGAGCACUUUAGACAGACUGCCCGUGCAAGCGGGAGGAAGGUGGGGAUGACGUCAAGUCAGUAUGGCCCUUAUGCCCUGGGCUGCACACGUGCUACAAUGGCUGGCACAAUGGGACGCAAUGCCGCGAGGUGGAGCCAAUCCCCAAAGCCAGCCCCAGUUCGGAUUGGAGUCUGCAAUUCGACUCCAUGAAGUGGGAUUCGCUAGUAAUGGCGCAUCAGCUACGGCGCCGUGAAUACGUUCCCGGGCCUUGUACACACCGCCCGUCACAUCAUGAAAGCCUUCUGCACCCGAAGUCGCCGGUCCAACCCGCCUCUAGUGGGAGGAAAGCGCCGAAGGUGUGGGUGGUGAUUGG